GACGAACGCUGGCGGCGUGCCUAAUACAUGCAAGUCGAACGAACUCUGGUAUUGAUUGGUGCUUGCAUCAUGAUUUACAUUUGAGUGAGUGGCGAACUGGUGAGUAACACGUGGGAAACCUGCCCAGAAGCGGGGGAUAACACCUGGAAACAGAUGCUAAUACCGCAUAACAACUUGGACCGCAUGGUCCGAGCUUGAAAGAUGGCUUCGGCUAUCACUUUUGGAUGGUCCCGCGGCGUAUUAGCUAGAUGGUGGGGUAACGGCUCACCAUGGCAAUGAUACGUAGCCGACCUGAGAGGGUAAUCGGCCACAUUGGGACUGAGACACGGCCCAAACUCCUACGGGAGGCAGCAGUAGGGAAUCUUCCACAAUGGACGAAAGUCUGAUGGAGCAACGCCGCGUGAGUGAAGAAGGGUUUCGGCUCGUAAAACUCUGUUGUUAAAGAAGAACAUAUCUGAGAGUAACUGUUCAGGUAUUGACGGUAUUUAACCAGAAAGCCACGGCUAACUACGUGCCAGCAGCCGCGGUAAUACGUAGGUGGCAAGCGUUGUCCGGAUUUAUUGGGCGUAAAGCGAGCGCAGGCGGUUUUUUAAGUCUGAUGUGAAAGCCUUCGGCUCAACCGAAGAAGUGCAUCGGAAACUGGGAAACUUGAGUGCAGAAGAGGACAGUGGAACUCCAUGUGUUAGCGGUGAAAUGCGUAGAUAUAUGGAAGAACACCAGUGGCGGAGGCGGCUGUCUGGUCUGUAACUGACGCUGAGGCUCGAAAGUAUGGGUAGCAAACAGGAUUAGAUACCCUGGUAGUCCAUACCGUAAACGAUGAAUGCUAAGUGUUGGAGGGUUUCCGCCCUUCAGUGCUGCAGCUAACGCAUUAAGCAUUCCGCCUGGGGAGUACGGCCGCAAGGCUGAAACUCAAAGGAAUUGACGGGGGCCCGCACAAGCGGUGGAGCAUGUGGUUUAAUUCGAAGCUACGCGAAGAACCUUACCAGGUCUUGACAUACUAUGCAAAUCUAAGAGAUUAGACGUUCCCUUCGGGGACAUGGAUACAGGUGGUGCAUGGUUGUCGUCAGCUCGUGUCGUGAGAUGUUGGGUUAAGUCCCGCAACGAGCGCAACCCUUAUUAUCAGUUGCCAGCAUUAAGUUGGGCACUCUGGUGAGACUGCCGGUGACAAACCGGAGGAAGGUGGGGAUGACGUCAAAUCAUCAUGCCCCUUAUGACCUGGGCUACACACGUGCUACAAUGGAUGGUACAACGAGUUGCGAACUCGCGAGAGUAAGCUAAUCUCUUAAAGCCAUUCUCAGUUCGGAUUGUAGGCUGCAACUCGCCUACAUGAAGUCGGAAUCGCUAGUAAUCGCGGAUCAGCAUGCCGCGGUGAAUACGUUCCCGGGCCUUGUACACACCGCCCGUCACACCAUGAGAGUUUGUAACACCCAAAGUCGGUGGGGUAACCUUUUAGGAACCAGCCGCCUAAGGUGGGACAGAUGAUUAGGGUG
Molecule: ribosomal RNA, 1490 nt
Filed under: Lactiplantibacillus plantarum
Lineage: Bacteria; Bacillati; Bacillota; Bacilli; Lactobacillales; Lactobacillaceae
Description: bacterial SSU rRNA
Rfam family: Bacterial small subunit ribosomal RNA
Source: RNAcentral